AUUGAACGCUGGCGGCAGGCCUAACACAUGCAAGUCGAACGGUAGCACAGAGAGCUUGCUCUCGGGUGACGAGUGGCGGACGGGUGAGUAACGUCUGGGAAACUGCCCGAUGGAGGGGGAUAACUACUGGAAACGGUAGCUAAUACCGCAUAACGUCGCAAGACCAAAGUGGGGGACCUUCGGGCCUCACACCAUCGGAUGUGCCCAGAUGGGAUUAGCUAGUAGGUGGGGUAAUGGCUCACCUAGGCGACGAUCCCUAGCUGGUCUGAGAGGAUGACCAGCCACACUGGAACUGGGACACGGUCCAGACUCCUACGGGAGGCAGCAGUGGGGGAUAUUGCACAAUGGGCGCAAGCCUGAUGCAGCCAUGCCGCGUGUAUGAAGAAGGCCUUCGGGUUGUAAAGUACUUUCAGCGGGGAGGAAGGCGGUGAAGUUAAUAACUUCACCGAUUGACGUUACCCGCAGAAGAAGCACCGGCUAACUCCGUGCCAGCCGCCGCCGUAA
Molecule: ribosomal RNA, 504 nt
Filed under: uncultured bacterium
Lineage: Bacteria
Description: partial 16S ribosomal RNA
Rfam family: Bacterial small subunit ribosomal RNA
Source: RNAcentral